This 561-nucleotide ribosomal RNA is filed under the name Kwoniella newhampshirensis. RNAcentral describes it as "eukaryotic LSU rRNA". It matches the Rfam family "Eukaryotic large subunit ribosomal RNA", at positions 89 to 636 of the family's 3401-position model. The record is from RNAcentral. Lineage: Eukaryota; Fungi; Basidiomycota; Tremellomycetes; Tremellales; Cryptococcaceae.
GCGAGUGAACCGGGAAGAGCUCAAAUUUGAAAUCUGGCGUCCUUCGGGCGUCCGAGUUGUAAUCUAUAGAGGCGUUUUCCGUGCCGGACCGUGUCCAAGUCCCUUGGAACAGGGUAUCAAAGAGGGUGACAAUCCCGUACUUGACACGACCACCGGUGCUCUGUGAUACGUCUUCUACGAGUCGAGUUGUUUGGGAAUGCAGCUCAAAACGGGUGGUAAACUCCAUCUAAAGCUAAAUAUUGGUGGGAGACCGAUAGCGAACAAGUACCGUGAGGGAAAGAUGAAAAGCACUUUGGAAAGAGAGUUAAACAGUAUGUGAAAUUGUUGAAAGGGAAACGAUUGAAGUCAGUCGUGUCCAUUGGGUUCAGCCGGUUCUGCCGGUCUACUCCCUUUGGACGGGUCAACAUCAGUUCUGAUCGGCGGAUAAGGGCGGGAGGAAAGUGGCACCCCUCGGGGUGUGUUAUAGCCUCCUGUCGCAUACGCUGGUCGGGACUGAGGAACGCAGCUCGCCUUUAUGGCCGGGGUUCGCCCACGUAUCGAGCUUAGGAUGUUGACAUAAUG